CAGCAGCCGCGGGAAAACGUAGGUGGCAAGCGUUGUCCGGAAUUAUUGGGCGUAAAGGGCUCGCAGGCGGUUGUGUAAGACAGGUGUGAAAUCCCCGGGCUUAACCUGGGAACUGCGCUUGCGACUGCACAGCUAGAGUAUGGCAGAGGGGGGUGGAAUUCCACGUGUAGCAGUGAAAUGCGUAGAGAUGUGGAGGAAUACCGAUGGCGAAGGCAGCCCCCUGGGCCAAUACUGACGCUCAUGCACGAAAGCGUGGGGAGCAAACAGGAUUAGAUACCCCUGUAGUCCCUGUCUCUUAUAC
Molecule: ribosomal RNA, 301 nt
Filed under: uncultured bacterium
Lineage: Bacteria
Description: partial 16S ribosomal RNA
Rfam family: Bacterial small subunit ribosomal RNA
Source: RNAcentral